GCUGGCGGCAUGCCUAACACAUGCAAGUCGAACGGUAACGCGGAGAGCUUGCUCUCUGGCGACGAGUGGCGGACGGGUGAGUAAUACUUAGGAAUCUGCCCAGUAGUGGGGGACAACAUUCGGAAACGGAUGCUAAUACCGCAUACGCACUACGGUGGAAAGUGGGGGACCUUCGGGCCUCACGCUAUUGGAUGAGCCUAAGUCGGAUUAGCUUGUUGGUAGGGUAAUGGCCUACCAAGGCGACGAUCCGUAGCUGGUCUGAGAGGACGAUCAGCCACACUGGGACUGAGACACGGCCCAGACUCCUACGGGAGGCAGCAGUGGGGAAUAUUGGACAAUGGGCGCAAGCCUGAUCCAGCAAUGCCGCGUGUGUGAAGAAGGCCUGCGGGUUGUAAAGCACUUUCAGUAGAGAAGAAAAGCUUAGGGUUAAUAACCCUGAGUCUUGACGUAACCUACAGAAGAAGCACCGGCUAACUCCGUGCCAGCAGCCGCGGUAAUACGGAGGGUGCGAGCGUUAAUCGGAAUUACUGGGCGUAAAGCGCGCGUAGGCGGCUUUGUAAGUCGGAUGUGAAAGCCCUGGGCUUAACCUGGGAAUUGCAUUCGAUACUGCAGAACUA
RNAcentral lists this ribosomal RNA (617 nucleotides) under uncultured Chromatiales bacterium. RNAcentral's name for it is "bacterial SSU rRNA". It matches the Rfam family "Bacterial small subunit ribosomal RNA", at positions 35 to 643 of the family's 1533-position model. The record is from RNAcentral. Lineage: Bacteria; Pseudomonadati; Pseudomonadota; Gammaproteobacteria; Chromatiales.